GUCUACGGCCAUGCCACCCUGAACAAGCUCGAUCCUAUCUGAUCUUGGAAGCUAAGCACGGUUGGGCCUGAGUAGUAUUUGGAUGGAAGACCACCUAGGAAGACCAGGUGCUGUAGGUG
RNAcentral lists this ribosomal RNA (119 nucleotides) under Pteropus alecto (black flying fox). The record is from RNAcentral. Lineage: Eukaryota; Metazoa; Chordata; Mammalia; Chiroptera; Pteropodidae.